Long non-coding RNA from Gordionus sp. m RMFG-2023, 265 nucleotides. RefSeq lists it as uncharacterized. The transcript is spliced from 3 exons. NCBI's taxonomy places the organism in Eukaryota, Metazoa, Nematomorpha, Gordioida, Chordodea, Parachordodidae. The record is from RefSeq and is a predicted model, not a curated record.
GGCCCCAAAGGGCUCAAGGGUUAUCAAGGAAAAUCUGGUUACGAUAGUUAUCCAGGAGCGCCUGGAUUAGAUGGGCUUCCUGGGCAAGAUGGAAAGGUCGGAAGACCAGGAAACCUUGGCCUUAACGGAAUGGAUAAUUUUAUAACCGGUGACCCAGGAUUAACCGGAUUCGACGGAAAGCCCGGUAAACGGGGGAAAAAGGGAAAAUCAGGUAAAGAUGGUUCACCUGGAACCAAUGGAAAAGAUGGUUUAAAAGGUCCUCCUG